Molecule: long non-coding RNA, 33063 nt
Filed under: Ananas comosus (pineapple)
Lineage: Eukaryota; Viridiplantae; Streptophyta; Magnoliopsida; Poales; Bromeliaceae
Description: long non-coding RNA (ACOM_LNC024363)
Source: RNAcentral
ACAAUAGAAGUAGGUACCCCGUGCAAUCGCACAAUCUCAUCCAAGUAUACCUGUGCGAGUCUCUCACCAGUCCAAGUAGUGUGGAUAGGUACGAAAUGUGCCAAUUUUGUCAACCUAUCCACGAUCACCCAAAUAGCAUCAUGCCCGACCUAAGAGCGGGGCAAACCCAUCACAAAGUCCAUGGUGAUCUUCUCCCAUUUCCACACCGGAAUUGGUAAGCUCUGCAAUUUUUUCGCGGGAACUCGGUACUUGGCUUUCACCUGUUGGCAAGUUAAACAUCUAGCAACAAACACAACGUCCUUUUUCAUCCCGGGCCACCAAUAAAGCAACUUUAAGUCCUUAUACAUCUUGGUGCCUCCCGGAUGUAUAGUAUACGGUGCUCGGUGUGCCUUUUGAAGAAUUUUUUCUCUAAGUACCGAUUCCACCGGUACACAGAUCCGUCCACGGAAGUGCAUCAGUCCAACACCGUCCACAGAAAAGUCACCGAUGCAACCAUCAAUCAUCUUAGCUCGAAUCCUUUGCAACUCCAUAUCGGAGACUUGCUUUUCUUUAAUUUUUUCUAUAAGUGUAGGUUGCACCAUCAAAGUCAUCAGUCCCAAAGGUGUAUCAGGAGCCACCACCUCUAACUCCAACCGCUUCAUCUGCUUGAUUAACGGCGAUUGAGUAACCACAAGCAUCGCUAAGUUUUCCGUCGAUUUCCUACUUAGCGCAUCUGCCACCACGCUAGCCUUGCCCGGGAGGUAAAGUAUCGUCAAAUCAUAAUCCUUGAGUAGCUCCAACCAUCUGCGCUGCCUCAAGUUCAACUCCUUCUGAGUGAAUAAAUACUUUAAACUUUUGUGAUCCGUAUAUACUUCGCAUCGCUCGCCAUACAAGUAAUGGCGCCAUAGCUUCAAAGCAAAGACCACAGCCGCCAACUCUAAAUCAUGAGUAGGGUAGUUUCUCUCAUAAUCCUUCAACUGGCGAGAUGCAUACGCAAUCACUUUCCCAUCCUGCAUCAAGACACAGCCCAAUCCACUAAAAGAAGCAUCACUAUAAAUCACAUACCCUGCUCCAGCAGUUGGCAAGGUUAGGAUCGGGGCGGUCGUCAAUCUCUGCUUCAACUCUUGGAAGCUCCUUUCACACGCAUCAUUCCAAACGAACUUGGUACCUUUAUGUGUGUGCCUCGUGAGGGGAGCAGACAACUUUGCAAAUCCCUCGACAAACCGUCGGUAGUAGCUGGCCAAACAAAUGAAGCUCCGUAUCUCGGUGACACUCAUCGGCCUCGGCCAAUCCUUGAUGGCUUCAAUCUUCCUAGGAUCCACAGCUAUACCUGAUCCUGAAAUCAAGUGGCCCAAAAACGCCACCUCUCUAAGCCAAAACUCACACUUUUUCAAUUUGGCAUAGAGCUUCUUUUUCCGAAACACUUGGAGUACAAGUCUCAAGUGUUCCUCGUGAUGCGCAUCACUUUGAGAAUAGACCAAAAUGUCGUCGAUGAAUACUACGACGAACCUGUCUAGAUAAGGCUUGAAAAUACGGUUCAUUAGAUCGAUAAAAGCCGCCGGGGCAUUAGUAAGCCCAAACGGCAUAACGGUAAACUCAUAAUGUCCAUACCGUGUUCUAAAAGCCGUCUUCGACACAUCCUCAGGCUUGAUCUUCAGCUGGUGAUAUCCCGACUGUAAGUCGAUCUUGGAAUACACACUAGAUCCCUGGAGCUGAUCAAAUAAAUCAUCAAUCCUCGGUGUUGGAUACUUAUUCUUGAUCGUGACUUUAUUGAGUUCACGAUAAUCUACGCACAAGCGAAGUGAUCCAUCCUUCUUCUUGACAAAUAGGACCGGUGCUCCCCAAGGUGACACACUCGGUCGCACAAAACCCUUGUCCAGAAGAUCUUGCAACUGUGCCCUCAGUUCCUUCAGUUCCGCUGGUGACAUCCUAUAGGGCGUCUUCGAGAUUGGAGUAGUCCCGAGAAUGAGAUCUACCACAAACUCAAUUUCCCUAUCAGGUGGCAUGCCUGGAAGCUCUGCUGGAAACACAUCUCCAAACUCCCGUACUAUGAAAAUAUCCUCAAUCCAAGGGGCGUCGACAUCACCUCGCAACACAACGGUAGCCAAAUAGGCUAAGCAGCCUCUACUAAUCAACUGUCUAGCUCGAGAGGAGCUAAUCGUCAUCGCAAAUAGCGAACUCUGGCAUUCUCGGUACACAACCUCCGCCUGCCCCGGCUCUCUAAACGUCAUAGUUCGAUUCUUGCAAUCAAUAGUGGCGUAGUACUUGGUCAACCAGUCCAUGCCCAAAACAAUAUCAAACUCUCCGAGUUUAUGCAAAGCUAGCAAGUCCACGGGCAUAAUCCAAUCUCCAACCCAAACAGGGCAACUGGGGCAAAACUCUCGAAUAUCCAAAGAGUGAUCGGGUACUACGACUCGUCCCGGAUGCAACAAAGAUGUCAGUGGGAUGCCAUGCAACUUGGCAAACAGCCGGUCUAUGAAUGAAUGGGAUGCACCAGUAUCAAAUAAUGCUCGUACUCGAAUACCAUAAAGUAAAAUGAUACCUGCGACCACGGCUGCUGCCGCCUCCUCAGUCUGGGUCGCAUACAUGCGCCCACUCGGGGCCUGUCGUGACCCCCGCCUGCAGCUGAACUCGCGGCCACCCAGCCUGGUGAUGCACAGAAAGUGUCCCCUGGCUGGGGCCUAGUAAAGCUGGAGAAGAUGCCGAAGAUGGCGCUGGUACUGGGCCCCUCGGGCAGUCCGACUGGAAGUGGCCCUCCUGGCCACACAAGUAGCAUCUGCCCCGACUGCGUGAACACUGCCGUGGAAAAUGGGGACCACCGCAUAUCAAGCUGCGCGAAGCCAGGCGUCGAUCAGGUCCUCCUCGCUGAGUAGACUGGCUACGUCCUCGCGACUGGCUCCGAUGUCUAGGAUGUCUCGGAGGCCUCCCUGAGUGCGCCUGACUCGCACCCUCAGCCGCGGGCCUCUUGCCUUUGCCUUCGUCCAAGGCCUCUCGCCGCUUCUGCAGAUCUGCCGCGCCGCUCUCCACUAUAAGCGCGCGGUUCACAACCUCCCGGUAGGUUUGGAGGUUGGAAGCCUGAAUAAACCGAAAGAUCGAAGGCCGCAGUCCUCGCUCGAAGAUGCGGGCCUUAUCCUCGUCGUCCCGAACAACAAAGGGCACGCAAUGAAGAAGCCGGGAGAACUCUCUCUCGUACUCGGCCACCGUCUUGUCCCCCACGCGUAGAUUGCGCAAAUCCUGCUCCAUCUUCCUCUUGACACUGUCAGAGAAGUAAUGCUCUAGUAGGAGUUCCUUGAACCUCCUCCAAGAAAUCGCCGUCAGAUCCGUGCUGGGGUUGUCCUGGAUGUCCAACCACCACUGGUAGGCCUCGCCGACCAGAUGAUGUGUAGCGAGCCAAACUCUGUCCCUCUCCUCUACAAAGGUGUCCCAAAACAGUUUCUCCAUAUGCAUAAGCCAUUUCUCCACGAUCCAGUGAUCCACGUUCUCCCUGCCAAAGGUCCGGGGGCUGUAUCUCCUGAACUCACUGAGACGCUCCAUAAGCCGAUCCCGCUCAGCUCCCUCAACCAUCAGGGGAAAAAACCGCCCUCGCUACAAGCGCUCGUGCUGGUGGUGCCGCAAUGUCCUUCUCCUGAGGUGCCGCCAUUGGUACCAUCCUAGACGCGUCGAGUGCAAGGGACGACAUCCUGGGCGCGACCACCUUUACUGGUGCGGGUGGUGUAGGGAUCUGAGUCUCACUGGCAGCCGCCUGCUGCAGCAAAAGGUCCUCCAGACGCUUCAUUCACGCCUCCUGCCGAAGCGCCGUGUCCGCCUGUCGCGUCACCAAAUCAGUGAGGGCUGCCAGCUGGCCUCUCAGCUCACGGACCUCGCCGGAUCCGAAGGUAGCAGAGGUCUCAGCCUCCUCAAAUUGUGCCGCAUUGUCCUCCCCCGCAGAUCGAGAGCGUGUGAUCGGCAUCGUCACUACAAAACAUAAAAGCGCAAGUUAGUAACCGGUGCUAUCGAAUCCCCGCUCAAAUAACAAUACCCAAAUCAUGAGAAAGUAAGGAAGUGUUAUCUACAACUAACUCCCGAUGUUACGUUGUCGGCCAAAAACGUAACCCUCCGCGAAGUUAGAAGCCAUACACCCCGAUCCAACUCGAACUUUUUAGAGUUAUCGUAAAACCCAAUUGAAAUACUUUCGCUUACAAGUCAAAUAGACCUCGUCUCUCACGAGCCUAUAUCCUAUAGUCCAACCGGCCUAAGGUUUGCUAGGUCCUCUAAGACUCAACCCUUGGAUCGAUACCAAAUUAAUCUGUCACGCCCCGGGACCGGCAAAGGCCCUCCCGGUAGCGCGCCCAGACCCACCCAGACCCGCCCUUCACAAAGUGUGGAAAAGCUCAGAACACCAAUCAAACACUCGUACCUCGCAAUUUGCAAAGGUCCAGUGUGUUUUACAUUGCUCCAUAUAGUGGAGGUCUUGUUGGUAAUGUAAAUGCGUGACAUGCAUCAUGGACAUUGUAGUAUCAACGCAAAUGGCAUAAGAAAGUGACUAUCUUAGCUAUAGUGGAAUAGACUAAGUGUGAACUUUCAUUGAGACUUGAGCAAUAGUGAACUAUUCUAAAUAAGAUAAUGACAUGUGUUAUGUGAAUAUGAACUAGAGACUUUUACUUGACAUAGUAAAUAUAAACGUCAUGUAGUGACAUUCGGGUUAGUAAAUGAUAACCUUGACACUUGAUACUAUACUUGGACCUUUGGGAUCGUGCUACAUAUUUCAUGUUUUAGACAUGAGGACCGAGAGCUGGAUACUAUUGAUCAUGCUUGCUUGCCAUUGUACUCAUUCGCACAUGCUUGUGAGGGUCGCUCCCCACAAGCCGACACUUCAGAGAUAGCCUACGCGACACAAGCUCGCCCGUGCGGGAUUGGGCGCUAAAAUGGGAUGCCGUGGGGGAGGCUCAUUCCUAGAGUGGGGAUGUUGACUACCACGGGGCCAUUUUUGGCACGGCACAAGCCGGACUACACACGUGUACAUCCAUGACGAGAAUUAAACUAUGAUACCAAAUGUGUAAUGAGAAAACUACUACUAGAAAGUGCAUCCUAGUUGGAUUUGUAGAUAUGCAUGAUAGUGCAUAGUGUGAACUUAUGUUAGUCAUUCUUGGCAUUGACAUUCUAGUGGUAGUAGAUUACACCUUUGUUGAUUGGCUUAUUGUAUGGUUAGAAUAGUAUGGAAAGUAUCAUGCUUCAUUGUAAAAUUAUGAACAUAAUGGACAUGCAGGACAAUUAAUAUACAAUGGAUUAUGCUUGUAAACCGACAUUAACAUCUAGUUGAUCAAAUGACAAUCGAACCUCAUAUGCAUAAUAGUAUUUGUUUAGUAAAAGCAAGACUUUGAUGAACAUGUUUAAGUACCUGCCUUUCAUAUCUGUUUAUUAACUUACCUUUAUAGCAUGCUUAUUUUAGCCUAGUGGAGUAUUUCGCUGAGAUCAGUAAUUGCCCACUGGGAACUAUUUUUGAUAGUUCUCACACCCCCCUAUUUUUUGUUGUUGUUUUCAGAGCCAUCCGCAUCGGGAGUGGCUAGGGAUCGAGGCAAGGGGUUAGCGGCUAGCUAGAGCCCUACGGAGUUAUUUUAGUUGGACCCGAUGUCAUCUUUUCUUUUUGUACCUUGAGAAAAGAUGUAUUAUGUAUUUGUUUAGAGCUUUAUGUUAGAUUCUGGAUUUAGUUGUAUACUUUUGUAUCUCUAUUUGUGGAUCCCUUUAUGCUAGAACUUUAGUGAUUUUAUUAUACUCGCUCUGAUAGCCUUAUUAGGACUUCUAUAUUCAUUUCUUGUUUAGUAGACGCCUUGUGUGCAUCGUGUUUGUUGGUGUACACGGCGGGUCUGUGCACGUGCCUGCGGGCUUCCGCUGGGCCCGGGGCAUGACAGAUUAAUUUGGUAUCAGAGCCUAGGGUUGAGUCUUAGGGGACCUAACAAACCCUAGGCCGGUUGGACGAUAAGGGAUAGGAACAUGAGAGAUGGGGUCUGUUGGGACCAUUUGUAAGAGAAAGUAUUAUGACUGGGUCACAUUUAUAACUCCUAAAGUGUUGAAGAUGAAUCGUAGUGAUUAACAUCUAUGUCCUUGAAAGAAGAUCACGUCGACGGCCGACAACGUAAUAUCAAGGAAUAGUAGGAAGUCACUUCAUUACUUUCGCAUGAUUGGAAUAUUGUAGCUAUGAGUGGGGCUGCGUUAGCAUCGGUUGUUUUAACCUAUGCUUGUUAUGUUUGUUGUAGCUUGUGACGUCGGCGACACCCACGACGGCAGCCGAGGCGACCGAGCCGGGGAAGGCUGCAUCCCCCCGAUCCGGCGAGAUUCGGGAAUUGAGGGAGCAGUUGGCCACUUUAGUUGGCGUGGUGGAGCGAUAGACGAGCGUGGUGCUACUUCAGGCCGAAACUUUGUGCCGACAGGAUGAGGGAAUCAGGCGAUUGGAGAGUCUGUUGAUCCGGCAGACGGUUGACUUUAAGAGUCCCCAGGAGGGUUCGGAUCAGGCCUUGACCGCGGGGAGAGGCAUGGAGGUUACUGGAGUGGCAAAGGAAACGUCCAAGAGCGAUAAGUUGCAUGUCAGCGAAUCGUCGAGGAAAGUUAAGAAGAAUCGAUUUCGAUGACGUGGUUCACGUGCUAGGCGAAGGACGCUGAGACGACAAUCGCCACUGCGAUGUGUGAUUUGCGAAGGUUUGCACUUGCCCAAACAGUGUCCUCGGGGGAGAGGGAGAUAUUACCCGUGCGGCCAGGCGGGCCAUUUUCAACUUGAAUGCCCGAGGAAAGGCGGGAUUACUGGAGCGUCGGUGCCAACCUCGACCCGAGAGGCACCCAGUGGAUGUGUGCCCACAGACUUGCCGGAGCUAGUUGUGGCGACUGAGAGGGCUACUGCAGGUAGCAUGUCUUGUAGUGCUUUUUGAAUUUCAUCAUGAUUGAGAUGAUUGCAUCAUUUGCAUCCAUUCUUUGAUCGGCUACUUGCCGAGUUGCAUGGCAUUCCGUUGGUUCGCUAUUUGCGAUGACUUUUAGCUUUUCUCGCGCUAGGCGGUUGAUUUGCGGGUUGUGGGUAGCAUGUUUUGCUAUGUUUUGUGGAUCUCACGAUGAUUGCAUUAGUUGCAUCCCUUGAUCGGCUGUUCGCCGGCUAGUGCCUCGGGACGACCCGUGCCUGGAUCACUUGUAGAGCCUAGGCCCUUUGGGCAGGCGUAGACAUCUGUGAGUCACAGCGGCCCGAUACCUACGGGUAGGGCAGAGUUUUGGUCAAGACGGUAGUCCGAGCUUAGACCCGGGAGCAUGGAAUGCCACGUGUUGGAUCAUGAGAUCGAGGAUACACUGAGUGUGUAGUGACCCAACCCGAGGAUUUGCUAGCGUUGAUCUUUUUCGAUGCAUGUAGGACGAUCGGUUGAUCGGGUGUGUCGUUUUGAACACCCUACCUUGUAAGAGGGUUUUUUGCGCCAACAAAUGGAUUGGCCUUAUUUGGUGUGGAGUUAUUGUGGGUACCUGGUACCCUUGGUCUUGCGAGCUGACCUGACUCGCCUUGAGGUUUUGAGCACGAAAUAGUGCGAUUUGAGGAUUUAGUUCCGCUGGUUGCGACGACUGUCUCCCCACCUAAAAUCGAGUAAUUGGGGAGGAUUUGGGGCCUAGUUGGCCAUUAGCAUUCGUUGAUCGAGAAUCCUUGUAAUGGAGGAUAUCAUUCGAGUUGUUGUUGUUUUAACGAUUGAGACACGAAGUGUGAGCUCAAUUAGCGGGGAGGUUCGUAUCUAGUGUUUUGCUUCGUGGAGAAGCACCCACACUUGUUGUGGGACCGGAUGGGUUGUUUCGACUGUAUGUCGACUAUCGUGAUCUAAAUUGAACCACGAUUGGGUGUUUGGACCGUUGUAGAGGCUCUUUGAUCCUUUCAAUUAGCCUUGAGCUGUAGGGGUACUCGAUAAGAUUAAGAUGUAAUCUGAGUAGUACCGUUUUAUGUUGGAGCUUGAGGUUGUGCCUCAAACGGACUUUGAUGCUGGGUUGGGACAUCGCGAGAAUUAUUGUGAUGUUGCCUAAGCCUGUGGUACUCCACCAGUGUUAGGGACUUACUGAAUGAUAAUUCCAAACCCUCUGGAUGGAUUUGUAGAACCGGUCGCGGAUGGCCAUGAGUAUUCCGAUGAAGAAUUGCGAGGAUCGACUGCGGAGGCAGAUUGACGUGAUCGAGGUCUGAAACUCUCACUAUUGGAUCAAGUGGUUGGGAAACUCGAGAGGAAAAAAUGCCAAGUUGCUAUUUUCCCUUGUCCGGUUUAUGCACCAGGAAUCAAGAUCUUGAGAAUGAAAACUGCGUGAAAGAGUUGUUUGGAUUGACGUUUUGACUGUUGGUCACAUUAUGGUGACAUUGAUAGAGAACUAUUUUUGAAUUGUGGAUGGAACCCUCUCUAUCACUUGAGUUGAACUCGGUGACUGUGGACACCUGGGGCAUCUGAUGCUAAGGGAAGCGUUGAGGAUGAGAAUUUUGAGUAAUUCUUCAUGAGUAACUGAACGGUUAAUGUACGAGACAUUCUAUCGAAGGUAAGCCCUUGGCUUAGGCUUACGAAGAGUUUAAUGGAGGCAUCGAGUUGAGACUAAGGGAAUGACCCUAGUGGAUUGAGAAUGUUACUGAACUUGGUCCAUGACCAUUAUAGUAGAGGAUUUGAGAGUACUACCCGAGCGGUGAGAGUGAGAUUGAUGUGGAGGCAUUGUGGUGCAAUGCCGAUGGAGGAAUCAAGUAAUCACCUUUGGCGAGCAAAUUUGGAUGAUUCGUCGGUUUCCGUUGCUAUCGAAAGGAUUGUUGCUGUGGAUGUUGAUUGUAGAGCAGUUCGUGCGAAGCAAUUUGGAAUGGUAGCCAUGUGGAAAUUACACCAUACUUAAUUAUGGAAUAGAGUGGCACCCAGUUGUGCAAUCUCGUGACGGGAUUUGAUUUUGAGUUGUGAGAUCAUCGUUGGGAUUGAGUCAACGAUUGGACGUGGCAUCGCCUCUCUUUGGUGAUUGAUAUCAUGUGAGUACUCUGGUGGAGUUUUGAUGAAUUGGGUGACGGGUGUAACCCCCGGAUUCUUGCUUUGGACAGCGUCGUUGAAUCCGCCUUAGAAGGAUAUAUGAUGAAAUUCUAUAUAUAAGAGUAAAGCGAAGCAGAGCUAGGCUUUGCCCUCAACCUGGAUAAGGAAGUAAGAGCUGGAAUUUAGCCUUUGGAAGCACUUGGUUUUGUGAGGACCAACUGAUGGGCUUGUCGAACAAGCGCGGAUUUGAGAUGGAACUUUCCUGUGAAGACUUGAGUUCAAGGUGCUUUUGUAGGGUUUGGCUUGCGAUAUGCCAAAUCCUUGGAGUCGCGGGAUUUUGUUGUGUUGUGCCUUGGAGCAAUCCGACAUGCUUGAGACCUUCGUGGUCUGGUUGGUACGCUGUUGGAGCGUCCCUUCCAUCCUCUUUCGAUGGGUCUGUUCCGUGGUUGACCCGCAGUUUCUGUAACAUACCAGAUUUUGGUAUAAAAAUAAAAAUAAAUAAAAAUAGUGUGAGAAACUAUUUUUAUUGAAUUUGUGGAAGUAAAACAUAAGCUCUCUACGCAACAGCCGAACGGAGCAAAUUUCGGUUCGGGGACCGGUUCUCCUACAUGAGGAACCCGUCUCAUCUACCUGGGACUGUCCCAGAGAGACCUCCAGCCAGACUUAGCAAUUGUCAGGUUCGUACCGUUUUUCGUGCUCGUUUUCGCCCGUUUUCGUUCCGUUUUACCUCCGUUCGUCUCUAAUCGAACCGAACUCUCCAAACAUAUUUUCAAAACAUGUUUUCAUCAUCUUCCAUCCUCGCUAAUCGCCGAUUUAACUCACGGCCCAACAUAGGCCUCGGCUUGCCGUUUUCGCGCACUAUGCGCACGAGAAAGCCACUCAAAAAAAAUAAAAAGAUAGCUUCACGAACCUACUCGAACCGAACUUCAACCGAACAGUUAAAUAGCUCUCAAUCGAUGACACCCAUAAGAUUAAUAGUUUAGAAUCCGAUACGUACAUCUCCCUCCUUAAAAGAGUUUCGUCCCGAAACUAACUCACUUUCAACCGCAUUAAUACUCCAACUCGUUUAUCGAGCACGUAUGGUCCAAUGCAUUGCGCUCCGAAUAGUCUUAUUACGCAUAAUGAAUCAUGCCAAAGGCUCACCACGAGAAUGUGAACUAGAUUACUCACAUUUGCUAAGCGUAACCACCGUAAGUCUUACGGUCUCCAUUACCUGGGUGCGCAGUCGAAGCUCAAACGACUCCCCGCGCUCAGCCCAUCAUCCGCAUUACGUAAUGCAAGAAUGCUUCCUGGCAUCACACCAUCGUCAGGGAACACAUCUCCGAUUCGAUUAGCACGGCAUUGCUUAGAAGCAAUCAUCAAUUGGGCCGAUCGACCCUGGAGUGCUCCAAUCCAUUUGGUACCCUUGCUCUACACCAUACCCGAGAUGCCUACCCGCAUAUCUCGAUGUCUUAAUACACAAGAGAGCUGUCCAAACUCUCAUGUGGCCUAAUCGUAUUCAGGUCUCGAGAAACGACUUUCACCUAUUUUCAAUUGCUCACUUCUAAUCCUCAAAAUCGCUCAACCACAGCAUGGCCCUAUCCACGCAACAUCUCUCGAACUUCAAUCCAUGAAAAAGAGCGUAUUUCCCAAUUUUUUUCCAACAUAACCCCAUUCUUGCCUGGCAAAGUUUCAUGCCGGGACGGUCUCCCUGCCUGGAACCCGGUCCAAGGGGACAUCCUCAAUCUCAGCGUGUUCGCAACCAGGUCCUCCUCGGACCUACGGCCGUUGCUCUGCGCUUAAGCCACAUGCUCUAGCCUCGGGGCAACCGGUUCCCUCCCUCGCUGGGACGUCCCCCGAAGAAGCGCGCGAGACAACGUUCGGGAAGCCGUCCCUCCCGCAGUGACCCGUCCCGAGAGCAAAUUUGCCAAGUGCAAAUUCUUGCACUAUUUGUCUAAGCGGUACUCCAUUUGUAAUGCACUUGUGCUUUUAACUUCUGGUCUUUACAAAAGCAUCCCACUCGAAAAUAUCGCUCACUGAGCGAAGUCAAUUCUAGCAUUUUUGAGAUUCAUCUCCCUUGCACCAAACUCCCUUCACGGAGUCAUCGCUAACAUACGAUUACGUCGGCUUUACAGGUAGAAACCAACGAGUACGCCGACGAUCAUCGUAGCACUACUGCUAACCCGUCGAACUACCAUAAGAUCUCGCUCGCACGUACGACCCACUUAUCAUUUCUGGGCGAAAUUCCACUUAGGAAUUCGCACCAGUCUCCAAACAAUAGCAACAAGACCCAACCCACACCAAUCUCGGGUUGGUCACCAAGACUCGGGUGUCCUCGAUCUUCAACGAUCUAACACGUGACUUUCCAUACUCGGGUCCAAGCUACGGACUACCGUCGACGACUCUCUGCCCCUGGCUCGAGGCACCGGCCGCGCCUCUCGCAGCUGACUUGGCCUGCCAAAUUGGCUCAGGCAUGCCACAGUCCAACAAAUUGUCCAGGCACCCGAUCGCCCCAAUCACUACACUCAAGCGUCGUCCAUACGACCAUGCUCUACAGAGCUCAGCACUCUAACCGCUCCUAAGUACCCCUGUGCGAGCGACAGCCCUCACGAGUGAUCCAUGGCCCGCUUCACACUUAGCCCUGCUGAAGUGCUACUGCCAAUUCACUCGACCGGCUGAAUCGAAACCGCACUCCACGAGUAUCUAUACUCGAGCGCUCUAUGUCUCUACGACGUCUCACACGAAGUCUAGCAUCAGGGAACUUAGCCCAUGCGCACCGGCCACACGAGCAACAACUCGUCCGCCUCAAUUCGAGGUACUACUAGGCCCACAGGCCAAACUUGGCCUCAACCAACCGCUCUCUCGACAGUGAUUCUACUCUCACUGUUCGAUCUACCGAAAUAAUAUCCGAGAUGCUCAGGCCACUCGGGUAUUCGCAAUGUCACGGCGCAACUCUCGCAAUUCGACACCCAUUGCCUUGAGAGUCGCUCCACCAUUUCACGUUCACCACGAGUCCCAUUCUUCGUCCAAGAACCAUCGCUAGCGAUUUGCUAGUACUACUUGGCUUUCCACCUGCUCCAGCAGGCGCUACACUCUCACGAUGCAAGCAUGUUCGGGUGCUUACCUACCCGACCACUUGGUCCCUACUAUGCAAUAUGUAAUUAGUAGGUGCUGAUCAUAUGCUAAAUGCAUGCAAUGCAUCAACUUGAGAUUACGCAAAAGCAUAUGCUUAUUUAAUUAACCCAUACCUGCAACGGCAUCAUCGAUGGCAGCAGGUUCAUCAACCUGGGUCGCAUAUCCAUGGCCACUAGGCGCUCGCCGCGAACCCUCCGGUUGCAUUGUCCUCAACGGCCGCUCCCCCGACCAUGCCGCAGGUGGCACACCUGCAGGCUGUCCCAGAGAGGAAUGGGCCGUCGCCGCCAUCAAGGCCUGGCUCUCACCUCGCGGGCACUCGUCUCGCAUAUGGCCGGGCUAUCCACAACGGAUACACCGUCCAUCACGCAGCGCACAUCGCCGCGCCUGGUGGGAACCGCCACAAAUCACACAUCCAGAGGAGGAUCGGGUAGAGGAUGACCUCGAGCGGUGUCUGGAACUCGACUGACCAUCCGAACCACUCGAUAAUGGCCUCGCCCCUCCUCGCUCAUGCCUACGAGAUUCGCGCUCCUCACGCACGAAAGCCUCGCCAUGCUCUGCCCACAAUGCUCGGUCCAAUACCUUCGCAAAGGUUGUGAGCUGGAAGAUUUGCACCUUUUUGUAAAUCUCCGGUCGAAGUCCACGCAGGAACCAAUCGGCCUUAUCCUUGUCAUCCCGUACCACAUCCGGGACAUAAUUCACGAUACGGGAGAAUUCCCGUUCGUAUUCCCUCACAGAGCGGUCUCCUUGCCGCAGCUUCCUAAACUUGUCCCGAAGCUUUCUCCUUUCAGUGUCGGGGAAGUACGUAGAAAACAUUAAUCCCCGAAAUUCAUCCCACGCCAUAGGAGGAAGACUAGGCGAUCGAUCCCGUCGAAUGCCUUUCCACCACGCCUUUGCCGAUUGCUUCAAGCAAUGCACAGCUAGGGGCACCUUGUCCCGCUCCAAGGUGUAUAACUCCUCGAAGAGCGUUUCCAUGGAGUCAAUCCACAUCUCCACGAUCCACGGAUCGUCAUUCUCUCCAUCGAAAGUAGGCGGAUCAAAUUUCUUGAAGGUCAUUAGGGCCGCCAAAGUCCGUUCUUUCUCCGCCUCCAAUUCCACAGAACCAGGGGCCACCGCCCCCGAAUCCAUCGUGACUCCUGUCGGUACACGGCACGCUGCUACCGGCGCAGCCGCCGCAGGCUGUCGUGUCAACAAUUCAUGGAGCUCCUUGAUCUGCUCCUCCUGUCGCUGCACUAUGCCCAUGAGCGUAUUCACUUGCUCACGGAGCAUCGGGUCUCCGCUCGCCUCAGCUUGCUCAGGAACUCUUGUCCCUUCCCGCGUCGAUCUGGAUAAGGAUCGCCUACGCGGUGCCAUCGCUUCCUGAAACACGACAACUCGAUUAGUUUUCGACCAACUCGGGUCGAACACGAGACCACUAACAACGGCUUAAAAGCCAAUCAAGCGAAAGUCACGCGAGGGCAUCUAUUCUCAUCACUAGGUUUCAUGUUGUCGUACGCCAACAUGAACAUCCUCGGCUGAGAAUAAACCACACCUCAAGUCUACCUCUAAUAUCCGUCUUAGAGGUUUACGACACAACCCAAUCCAUUAAUCUUUCGCCACAAAUCAUAAGUCCUCGUCUCUCACGAGCCUUAUUCUCCUAUGGUUUACUAUCCUAGGUCUCCUAGGUCCGGCUAAACCAUUUUCUUUUCCCAUUUUCUACUUUAUGCUCUGAUACCACUUUAUCUGUCACGCCCCGAGACCGCUCCCAAUUUGGUCCGGUUCGGGCACGCCGACAGACCGCCGAACGGACCGGGGUUUCCCCUGUACGCGGACAGAGUCUCCCCUGUACGUUCUAGGCGUCGCAAUCCAAACAAUGUACAUUACAAUGGUUCCAACCAGGAACAGAUAUCAAUCAUGAUUGCGUAAGGAAGUAUCAAACAACAUAAACACAUCCUAUGUUAUUACAACAUUCACAUUAGAUUCAUUUACUUACAUCACACUUUAUAUAUUACAUUCAACUUCCAAAUACAAUCUAAGUUAUUACAAGUUUAAUACAUUUUAUUCCUUUCAUUUUCUAUACCCCUAAGCUACGCCGACGGGGUACUGCUAGCUCUGGUCUCUGGGGGUAGGGCGCUAUCUAUGGAGCUACGCCCUUGCCUCGCGCCGCCGCGCCGCUCACGUGCGAACCUGUAAAACCCCAAAACAACGUGGGGUGAGAACCAACUCCAUGGUUCCCAGUGGGUACGGCCACCCAAGGGAGGAGCUCGACCAACAGGUCCAAGGGAGGCAAAUACAAGUUAGUCCAAUAAACAGAUAGAUAUGUAUAUCAUAAACAUGCAACUAACUUUACCUUGCUUUGCCUCACAACUGCAAUGAUGUCAUGCUAUAUGCAACAGGAAUAUAUGCAACAACUAGUAGAAUUAUUGAUUCUACAAUCAAUCUCGCUAAUCUUAGCUCAUGUCAUCCAACUCUAAGGUUUCCACUACCUUAGGUUAUCACAUUUACCACUAGCCCUCAAGGUUCUAUCUACCUUAUUCCAGCUAGCCACCCGACUCGGCCUCGAGUCAAUCAACAGCGGAUAAUCCGCGCUCUGCCCGGCUCGAGGUGAAGGAUCCUGUCGCAUGCACCUCAGCCUGCAAGCCAAGAACCACAUCGCCCAACGGUCCGCCCGAAGGUCCGUGCACCGUGGUCAGGGAUCCGCCAGUGGGAGAGGAAACAUAGCCGCGUACACCCAUAGCCGAGAUCCCCGAUAGGGAGAGGAAUAUGCCGCAUCCACCCUAGCGCUCUUUGUUCUUGCUUAGUCAUAAUCCUCAAAGUUCUUUCCGGUGGGAGAGGAACAUCGCCGCAUACACCCGCGGUCCAAGAACUAUUGAGUUCACAAGUACUGGGAUUCCGGAAUCGACUUCACAAGUCAAGGGUCCAUAUCCAACCCUAUACUAUUGACCUAUCUAGGUCCAAUGCACUUUCCACCCUAGGUCCAACUGACUCUAGGUCUAAUGCCUCAAUUUCACAACCUAGGUUUACCUUAACUCUAGGUUCAGUUCUCAACCUAUGUUCUUUAACACUAGGUUAGAUGCCACACACCUAGAUCCCGACUCUAGGUUCAUACUCAACCUAUGUUCUUUAACACUAGGUUAGAUGCCACUCGUUAUUUAUCCUAGGUUCACCAACGCUAGGUUCAAUGUCAUCUAUGUUCGACCUAUGUUUAUUAACACUAGGUUAAUGCCACUCGAUCUACUUGACAUCCUAUUUGUCAUAUCGAGUACUAUAGAUAUCCACAUUUCAUCUCGCAUACAUUCUAUGAUGCCAAUAUGCAUUUACUAUCUAGCAUGAACUCAUAAUGCUAAGUGCAACUAGCAUAUAUUCCAAUACACAAAUACAUAUCAUUUUACAUGGAUCUACUUAGCAUUUGCAUCAUAUUAUUAAUAUGCAUUAUUUACAUUUAUAUGCAUCAUCUAUAUGCCUCAUUUACAUUCAUAUGCAUCAACGUGGAUUCUUAAUCAUCUUAGACAUAAAGGGCGACCUAGUCGCUUCGGUAAACACAACCCACCUUAACUCGCGUUCCGAUUGCUCGUCGACACUUGCAAUCGGCCUCCCGCGGCACCCGUGACCCGGUUCGGCUCGAACUCUUGCGCAACCACCCGAACGGCCACCAAUCCGCGAUCCGUCUAUUCUGGAGUUUAUUCCACGACACCACGAUGCUCCCGAUCCGCUUUCAUGAUUUUUGGAGGCUUAUUCCGCGUGCUGCGGCUAUCUGUACCAAAACAGACCGUUUCGUCAAUAACUUCGCGUACACUCGUCGUAUCGUCGAACCGAGCGCACCAACGCGUUCGUUAUACCCCCAAUUAGGUUUACAGAGGGUUAAAUGAGAUCAAACCCAUCUAUUUACAAAAAUUCCAUUUUUGAUGCCCUAGAUGCUACUAUUGCAAAAUACCCCAAAUCGAUCUCCGAUUCAUGCAAUAAACAUCUAACUAGCAUCAAAGGAGCCUACUAAUCUCACUUCUAGAGCAUUUAGACCUAUUUCUAGAGAUCUACCAUGAGAGGGAGUAGCAAGCUUACCUCUCUAGGUUGCUCCAAGCGCGAGGAAGACGAAGGAGAGGUUGAAGAUCCCACUCUUGAUCUUCUUCUCCUUCUUCUUCUUCUUCUCUUCUUCUCCUUCCUCUUCUUCUUCUUUUCUUCUAUUUCGUUUAGAGAGAGAGAGGGGCACGUUUGGGGUUGAAACGGUGAGGGAAAGAGAGAGAGAGAGGUUCUACUCCUCUCUAUACACUUAACCCAUAUAACAUUUGCAGGAAAACCCCUCAACAAAGCCUCUCUUGCAACAGCCCGAACUGGGCAUUUUCGGGGUUCGGGGACUGGUCUCUACAUGAGGGACCGGUCUCUGAGAGACCGGUCUCUCUACCUGGGACCGGUCCCAGAGAGACCUCCAGCCCAGACUUAGCCAAUUUUCAGCUUCGUCCGUUUUCGCUCCGUUUUCGCCCGUUUUCGUUCGUUUGACCUCCGAUUCGUCUCAAAUCGAACCGAGACUCUCCAAACAUGUUUUCAAACAUGUUUUCAUCAUCUUUCCAUCCUCGCUAAUGCCGGAUUUAACUCACGGCCCAACAUGGCCUUUCGGCUCCGUUUUCGCGCCUAUGCGCACCGAAACGCUCGAUAGCUCCCGAACUUCACCGAACUUCACCGGAACCAUUCAAAUAGCUCUCCAAUCGAAUGUACACCAUAACUUAAUAGUUUUAGAAGUCCGAUACCUUACAGUGCAUGUAUAUUCUGGUGUCAUUCAUGUAUGUUAGGACUCUAUUAUUGUGUGAAUAUGAGAGUCGGACUUGGACAUUAGUAAACAAGGGUGACAGUGAAAAUAGAGACAUGAUCGGCAUCAAGAAAGUGAUUGUUAAACAUAGUUUAACCAUAUUGACAUUGGACCAAAUUGACAUAGAGAGUGGCAUGAUUAAAUAGGUAGAAAUCUAUUGUGACAUUGGCAUUGUGACUAGUGGCUAUGUAUCCUCAAGUUGAGGAUUGGAUCGAUACUCACGAUAAGUCUUGGCUUGAGGGAGGUAGCUCCCCCUCGGGCGGUGCGCUCCGGAGUUGGUCACCACUGGGCGUGGUAAAGUCCCUCCAGAAGACGGUCCCCAGGGAGGUUCGAGUCCCCCGUUAUUAAGGGUUUUGGGUUGUGAGUCUUUGGGGUUAACAUGGUUAACCGGUAAGAUUGGGUCAUAGCCAAAUGAGUGUACAACAAGUAUGCAUUAUGAGUUAUGGAUUUGGUAUCCUAGUCGAGAGGAUCUAGGGCUGAGGUGUAUGUGAGACGUCCAUCGCCUCGAGCCUGGUUCUAGUGCGGUACUCCGCAGACGAUUGACUCAAGACCGAGUCGGGUGGUUAGCCUUGUAAAGGUAGAUGAAACUUUAUGAUUAAAACGGUGAUUGACAAGAAUCUAAGAUAGAGGAAACCUUAGAUAUCGAAUGGAUGAGCUAUGGUUAGCAGAAUUGAAAGUAGUGUCAAAUGAACUACUAGUUGGUUGCAUAGUUGCAUUAUUGCAUGAUUUGCAUAUAGCAUUGCAUUAUUGCAUUCGUGAGGCAAAGCAUGGUUUUAUUAGUUGCAUAAUAAAGAUAUAUAUCUAUCUGUUUAUUGAACUAACUUGCAGUUGCCUCCCUUGGACCUAUUGGUCGAGCUCUUCCCUUGGGUGGCCGUACCCACUGGGAACCAUGGAGUUUGUUCUCACCCCACGUGGUUUUGGGGUUUUUACAGGUUCGCACGUGAGCGGCGCGGUGGCGCGAGGCGAGGGUGUAGCUCCAUAGUUAGCGCCCUACCACCGAGACCAGAGGUAGUGGUACCCUAAGUCGGCCUUACUUAGGGAUGUAAAGAAUGAAAGAAUCAAGUUGUAAUAAUUAUAUUAAAUCGGAUUGUAUUUGGAAGUUAAAUGUAAUAAGUAUUUGGGAUGUAAAAAUGUAUGAAUAUGAAUGAAUGUAAUAAUAUAGGAUGUGUUUAUAUUGUUUGAUACCUUCCAUUAUGCAAUCUUGAUUGAAAUGUGUUCCUGGUUGGAACUUCGCACAUUGUAUUGAUUGCUAUGCCUUGAACGUACAGGGGAGACUCUGUCCGCAGUUCAGGGGAAACCCUGUCCGUUCGGCGAUCUGUUGGCGGCGCCGCGACCCGGCCAAAUAGGCAGGCGGUCGCGGGGCGUGACAGUUUCGCAGACGAAACUCUUUUUUAGGAGGGAAGAAUGUAACACACUGGACUUUUGCAAAUUGCACGGUUCGAGUGUUUGAUUUGUGUUUCGAGCUUUUCCAUAUUUUCUGGAAGGUCGUAGACAGUGUUCCGACCUAUGGCUCGCAUCUCGAGAAUUGUGGUUUAAAAUCUUGCACCAAACCCAAAAAGAUGGAUUUUUGGUCAGCUCUCGGGUUUGCCUCAGCAGGGCUGUCUACCGGUACAUCCUUGAUGGUUGUACCGGAACAGAUUUUGUACCAGUACACCUUGAUGGUUGUACCGGUACAAAUGUGAUUUUUAGCCAACCCGAGCCUUGGGUUUGUGUGUUCGGGGGAUUUGUACCGGUACACUUUCCCGUGUACCGGUACACUUUCCCGUGUACCGGUACACUUUGCCAGACUUCAAACUGGCAGAUCUGCAGGGGUGUUUUGCCAUUGUUGCUUCUCUAUAUUAGUCCCCACGCCCCUUAGGGCCUUCCCUGAGCUGGGAACACAGGAGAUUGAGGUAGGGGAGCUUCUCACUUUCCCUCUAUGGAUUUUAUCUCCAUUUCUCUUGGAUUUUUGUUGUUUAACUCCUCUCUUUUCUUCUUGGUACAAAUUCCACUAUUGUUGAAGGCUUAGAGCUUGAAGAGGAGCUUGUUUGAGAGGAAAUCUUCAACCCUAGUUGGUUUGGAGCCUAGUUUGGAGCUUCUUAAGAGGUUAGAAACUUGUUUUCUCCUUUUAAUCCAUGAUUUAGUAGAUUUCUUGAGAUGAAACCCUAGAAUGGAAAUUUAGGGUUUGAAAUGGGGAAUUUUGAUCUAGGGCUUUUAGAGCUUGAUUGAUGAGUUUGGAACCUUGGUUUAGGUUGCAUUGGAAGGGUCUUAGCUCUCAUUUGGGUUUUAAAAGGGGCUUUUACACUAUAGAUAAGUUUUGGCCCUUUUGUUGAGUUAGUUAAUGUUUAACCAUUGGAUUGUUCGUAACGUUCGUUUAACUCUCCUUUUAUUACCUUUAGGGUGCUAGGAGAAUAGUGGGCAACUUCGUUCGGCGAAACGAAAGAGUUCGAAAUGUUUCCGGUAGGUUUGAUCUCACCGAAAUAGGUGAACUCCUCCCUAAACCCCUUAUUUGGUUUUAAGAUCCAAUUAAAUACUUUGUCAUGCUCAAAAUGACAUGCUAGGAUUUAUGAGGACACAUUACAUAUAUGCUAUGUAAAGUUAAUUAAUGCUCUAUGUAGUAGAGGCAUUUAUGUGAACUUGUGCAUGAAUUAGUUCUAGUGGGCGAUUUCUCUUUUAUGCAACCUUAGAAGACAUGUUAGAGCAUGAUUGACGGUGUGACCCUUGGGGGAUCUCGACUUAUGGGUUUGGUAAAGUGAUCAUCUUACAUGUUAAACAAGAUACUUGUGUAGACAAAGAAAUAGGACUUUGUGACCUAGUAAUUAACAAGGUGUUGACCUUGAGUUUAAUAGCAUAUCUACAAGACUUGGACUUCUGCAUGAAUGAGACUUAGCAAAUAUUUCCAUGAUAUACCACACUUGUUGUAGACAAGUAGUUGUGACAUGAUGACAUAGUACAUGUAAGAUCUAUAAGAAACCAAGUUGGGACAUUCAUUCUAGUUGAAUAAUUGUAUGUGGCGUUAAUUGAAUGGAAUUACUGCAUGAUAACUUAUUGCUCCAUAUAGUGGAGGUCUUGUUGGUAAUGUAAAUUCAUGACAUGCAUCAUGGACAUUGUAGUAUCAACGCAUAUGGCAUAAGAAAGUGACUAUCUUAGCUAUAGUGGAAUAGACUAAGUGUAAACUUUCAUUGAGACUUGAGCAAUAGUGAACUAUUCUAGAUAGGAUAAUGACAUGUGUUAUGUGAAUAUGAACUAGAGACUUUUACUUGACAUAGUAAAUAUAAACGUCAUGUAGUGACAUUCGGGUUAGUAAAUGAUAACCUUGACACUUGAUACUAUACUUGGACCUUUGGGAUCGUGCUACAUAUUCCAUAUUUUAGACAUGAGGACCGAGAGUUGGAUAUUAUUGAUCAUGCUUGCUUGCCAUUGUGCUCAUUCGCAUAUGCUUGUGAGGGUCGCUUCCCACAAGCCAGCACUCCGGAGAUAGCCUACGCGACACAAGCUCGUCCAUGCGGAAUUGGGGGCCAAAAUGGGAUGUUGACUACCGCAGGGCCAUUUUUGGCACGGCACAAGCCGGACUACACACGUGUAGAUCCAUGACGAGAAUUGAACUGUGAUACCAAAUGUGUAAUGAGAAAACUACUACUAGAAAGUGCAUCCUAGUUGGAUUUGUAGAUAUGCAUGAUAGUGCAUAGUGUGAGUGUGAACUUAUGUUAGUCAUUCUUGGCAUUGACAUUCUAGUGGUAGUAGAUUACACCUUUGUUGAUUGGCUUAUUGUAUGGUUAGAAUAGUAAUGAAAAGUAUCAUCCUUCAUUGUAAUAUUAUGAACAUAAUGGACAUGCAGGACAAUUAGUAUACAAUGGAUUAUGCAUGUAAACCGACAUUAACAUCUAGUUGAUCAAAUGACAAUAGAACCUCAUAUGCAUAAUAGUAUUUGUUUAGUAAAAGCAUGACUUUGAUGAACAUGUUUAAGUACAUGCCUUUCAUAUCUGUUUAUUAACUUACCAUUAUAGCAUGCUUAUGUUAGCCUAGUGGAGCAUUUCACUGAGAUCAGUAAUUGCCCACUGAGAACUAUUUUUAGGAUAGUUCUCACACCCCCCUAUUUUUGUUGUUGUUUUCAAAGCCAUCCGCAUCGGGAGUGGCUAGGGAUCGAGGCAAGGGGUUAGCGGCUAGCUAGAGCCCUACGGAGUUAUUUUAGUUGGACCCGAUGUCAUCUNCUAUGCCUGCUUGAGACCUAGUGGGUAGAUCGGUGGAGUCGGCGGCCGAACCCACUGGGAACUAUUCGUAGUUCUCACCCCCGUGUGGUUUUGGGGGUACAGGUACACAGGACAGCGGGCCUUCAUCGAUGGAUCGUGGUAAGGGCAUAGCGCCCUAGCUUUUGGUAGAUAGUUUACCUUGCCUACUUGCAUUAGCUCUAUACCCUGUACUUUUGGUUAUGCUUUGAGAGUAGAUGAUGUAUAGGGUGAGGUUUGGAGAGCAUAUGAUGUAUUUUCAUUUUGGAAAAAAGGAUGCAAGUUGUAUUAAAUACUUAAAGUUUAAAUGAUAUCGAAGAGGUUUAAUGUUUCAAUCAUGGUUUAAAUAGCUAAGUUUAUCUCUUUUGUAUACUUGUAUGGUUUUACUUAUAUCGCUUGCUCUAGUUGAUAGUAGCACUGCUUGUGCUCUCGUUUAUCGUUGUUUGAUUGUGUAUGUAUGCAAGUUGUUUUCCUGGGAACUUGUUGUACACAAUCUGUUGCUUAGCCUUGGGCGGACAGGGGAAACUCCGUCCGUUCGGCGGUCGCGCCGCCGCCCUCGAACCGGACCAAAUUGGUACCGUUUUCGGGCCGCGCGGUUGGGGCGUGACACUAGGUGCUUCGAUGACUUUCUUGAGAUUUUUGGACUCCUCAUUCUUCACCUGCGGCAAAACGAAGCAAUCUUAGGCCAUUUUGCCCAUAUCUUUACAUCGGCUUUUCGUAACGUUAAUCCGAGCGCACCAACGCGUCGGAAAUACCCCCAAUUAGGUUUUUGAAGGGUUAAUUUCACUUAGGAAUCCCCAUGAGCAAAAGCCCCAAUUUGGUGCCCUAGCUCCAUUACAUAUACAAAACCUAGGGUUUGAUCUCAUUGGGAAGCANUAGUUGUAUACUUUUGUAUCUCUAUUUGUGGAUCCCUUUAUGCUAGAACUUUAGUGAUUUUAUUAUACUCGCUCUGAUAGCCUUAUUAGGACUUCUAUGUUCAUUUCUUGUUUAGUAGACCCCUUGUGUGCAUCAUAUUUGUUGGUGUACACGGCGGGUCUGUGCACGCGCCGGCGGGCUUCUGCUGGGCCCGGGGCGUGACACCCGCUACCAAUUUGGUCCAGGUCGGGCGCGUCGAGCAGACGCCGAACGGACAGGACCUCCUCCGUCCGCCUAAGGCUAAACAACGAGAUCAUACAACAACAGCGAGAGCACAACCAGUGCUAAAUAAUCAAGAGCAAGUAUCACAAGUAGAGUAUAUACAAGUGAACAAAAGAGAGAUACUUAUCUAUUACAUUUAUGCAACUUUUAUACAUCUGAUUACAUUUAAACUUCCAAAACAUAAACAUAGAGUUUACAAUCUUCCAAAAUAUCUCACACCUAUACAUCAUCUACUCUCGUGUAUAUACAAGGUAACUACUAAUGGAAUGGGAAGUAUCUACAACCUCUAGGGCGCUUAGCCCUUACCAAGAUCCUCGCCGGGUGUACUCGAGCUCGGCCCUGCAACAAAGUGGGGUGAGAACUAUUAUCCAUAGUUCCUAGUGGGUUCGGCCGCCGACUUCGCAGAUCUCCCCACUAGGUCUAAACAAGCAUAGGCAGAUAGAUAGAUAGAUAGAUAACUUGCAAGCGAUAACAUAGUAAGAAGACAUGAAAGUAAUCUACCCUGCCUCAAUCUAUAAUCAUGCAUGCAACAUAAGUAAAGGCUAACUACCAAGCUAUCAUACUCAAUAAUGAUGUAAUUCAUUAGAUUACCCAAUCAAUCGGCUAACCCGAAGGUUCGCCACCAUCUCACGUCUCAAAGUCUCAUAGGGGAGGAGAUUUUAAUCACUCGGCUACCCCUGAGACCGCCUGCGGAUAGCUAGCUACUGUCCGGGCAACUCACGACUGCCCCUCUAGUGACCAAAACUCUGGAGUGCACAGCUUGUGUGGAGCGACCACUAUAAGCGCAGACAGGCUAUGUGAGUUCGAUCCAAUCCUCCUGAACUGGGGAUACCCUACCAACUAGGAAUAGCAUCAUCAUGGAAAUCAAUGUAGUCCUUGUCACACCCCGGGACCGAUACGAAUUUGGCCCGACCCGAGCACGUCAAACAGACGCCGAACGGACAGAGUUUUCCCUAUCCGCCCAAGGCUCAUCACAUGUAUAUUUUCAUCAAUAUAGAAAAGCACUAGCGGAAACAUACACAAACGGCUUACGCGAGGGUAAGCAAUAGCCAUUAGUGAAAGAAAGGAAAACUAAACAUUUACAAGUACUAUGAUUCAUUUUUGAUCAUCUACAUUGCAUCCAUAUUGUACAUUUUCAAAUUCCUUACAUUUCACUUCAUUACAUUGCUUGCAUCAUUUCCUUUUACAUCACACUUACCUCAAAAUGAGCUUUACAUUCUUCUCUUUACAUCACUAGUCAUCAAAUACAAAAGAUGAACAUAAGGUACUCUACUAACAAAAUGUAACCCAACUCAACUCUGGUGGCCUCUGUCUAAGGUGCGAUACCUUUACCUCGGUCGCUCGCCGGCUCGCUCGGUCCCAGCUCUGUGGAAAUAGUGGGGUGAGAACUACAACAAAGUUUCCAGUGGGUUCGGCCUCAACAUCACCGACUUUCCCACUAGGACUAACUCAGGCAUAAUAGAAAAAAUAAGCUGCAUAUAGUAACNCACGCGAUGCAUCCGGUCUCUCUUUGGGGGACCGGUCUCUCGGGGACCGGUCUCUCAAGCAGGGACCGGUUCCCGAGAGCUAGUUUCUCAGGACUUAGCCGAUUUUUCGGCUGUCUCAUUCCUCACGCGUUCGGGGACCGGUCUCUCCCACUAGGGACCGGUCCCCGAGAGCUCAAAACUGCAGAAUGCAGAUUUUGAUCCUUUAGCUCUCGAAAACCUUCCGUAAUUCACUUUUGCUCAUUUUAACACCUUCGGACUUUCCGAAGUGUACCAUCCACGCACUUUGGUCAAUUUGACUAAAGUUCGAUAUUUAUUUUUCGAAUUUUCGGUAUAUUACAUUCCUGCACUAAUCUCAUAGUGUUUCACUACACUAACGUUCUUAUGCCACUCGUUCUCGUGUUCAACACUAACUAGAUGCCACUUGUUCUUGUUACAUGUUUCCAAUAUUCUAGUUUACACUUUACUAGGUUUUCAUCCACAUAGGCACAUUCAUCAUUUAUCAUCUCAUUAUAGUGUUCGAAGUCAUCAUGUCACGCUAUCAUGCAUACUAGGUCCAAGUGUCAAGCAAGCGACUCUACACUACCACUAGCAUGCAAGAAUAUACAACAACAUACUAAAUACCCUAUAAUGCAAUAUGGCAAGAUGCUUAUGAGAUCAACAGUGAGCCUCAGACAUAGGGAGCAGUUCAACUGCUUCGGGAUGGCACCACCCACCUUUUGACGAUGCUACGAAGUAGGAAACCCAAUCUCACGAUCACUCGUCGCCGCUUCGACCUCUCGAGCGGAAACGAAGCCGAAACGCUCUUCGCUUGGCGAUAUCUCUGCACCGACUCGACGAAUCGUCGAACCGUCGCCGCCAACGCGUUUAAACACCUAUCAAUUAGGUUUACAACCAACUAAUUUAGAUCAAAACCCUAAAUUUUCCAAAACAUUAGAGCCCUAGGUUUCAACAAUGCGAAAAUCCACGAUUCUAGCUUGAGAUUCAAGCAUGAAGCAUCUACUAGGGACACUAAAGUUCCAACAAAACCAUUUCUAGAGUAUUUAAACUCUACCCUAAAAAUCCACCAUUAAUGCUCUAGGAGCUUACCUCUCAAGCAUGCUCCAAACUAGAGGAAGAAGAUGAAGAAGAUAAUGCCUUCCUCCUUGACCUUCUUCUCCUUCUACUCCUUCUCCUUCUUUCACCUUAGAGGGAGAGAGAGCAAGAGCUUAGAGAGAGAGAGGAGUGUUUAGGUUUAGCUUUGGGGAAGAAAUGAGAAGAGAGAGAGAGCAAGAGCUCUCAUAUAGCUUCACUCAUGUAACAUUGCAUUUUAGCCACUCAACUUUCCAACCAUGAAACAGCCCAUCAUUGGGCAUUUUCGGGCACGGGGACCGGCCCCUCUAAGGGAGGACCGAUCCCCGAGAGUAAUUUUUCCUAGGUUGAGCUUCGGCUCAACCCUUGCACGCGUACGGGAACCGGUCCCUCUUAAGGCGGACCGGUUCCCGAGAGCAACCUUGGCAGGUUGAGCAUCAGCUUUGUAGCACACUGGACCUUUGCAAAUUGCAUGGUUCGAGUGUUUGAUGUGUACUCCGAACUUUUCCACACUUGGUGGAAGGCCGUAGAUGAUAUUUCGGCCUAAAAGUUCGAUCUCUAGAGUUUUGACUUUGUCCUGAGAGUUUUCACUCUCGGAGACCGGUCCUUGAUAUGAGAGACCGGUCCCCUCAGCUCAGUGUUGCGGCAGCUGGCGAGGCAACAGGUCCCUGGCAGGCGAGACCGGUCCCCGAGCGCGUCUGCGCGGGGAGAGUCCGGUCCCGUGCGGGUAGAGACCGGUUCCCGAACGUUGGUUUUGCGGGACGAACUGAGAGACCGGUCCCAGGUGUCGGGGAGACCGGUCCCUCAGUGCGAAAACAGCCUAGACCGGGCAGUGCACGGAGUGGAUUUUUGAGGGACCUAAGUGGAUUUUGUUGCUUUUGAUGGCUUAUAGAGCCUCUUCUCUUCCUCUCACUCUCAUUUUUUCUCCCUCACACCCAUUCUAGAGAGAGAAAGAGGAGGAGAAGAAGAAGGAGUUGGAGGAGAAGAGCUCACUUGGAGGCCUUGGAGCAUCAUCUUCUUCCUCAUUUCUCACCUUGGUAGCUUGGAGCUUGCUUUUGAAGCUUGGUGGUGGACCACUCCUCAACCCUUGAGGAUCUUGGACUUGGUUUGGAGCUUCCUAGAGGUAUGUGACUAGUUCUUCUCCUCUAGAUUCUAGUUUUGAAGCUUUUUGCUUGAUGAAACCCUAGAUUGGGAUUCUAGGGUUAGUUUUGGGGCUUUUUGAUUUGAGAGCUUUGGAACCUUUUUGAUUGGUUUAGAACCUUCCUUUAGGUUGGAUUGGGAGGGUUCUUGCCCCCAUUUGGAGUUUGAGUGAGGAUUUCUUCACUUAAGGUGAGUUUCCUCCAUCUUAGCCUAGGUUACUUAUUGAUUGAGCUUAGGGUUGAUCGUAAGGUUUGCUUAACCCCUGUUCCUACAUCUUUAGGGUGCUAGGAGACUAGUCGGCACCUUCGUCGGAGCUUACGAAGAAUCGCGAGAGUUGUGGUAGGUUUGACUUCAUGAAAACGGGGCAAAAUGGCCCCUAUGCUUUCUAAAAUCUUCGUAAAGUUUUUUUUAAGAGCAAAUCCAUAUUAAACAUGAUUUAUAUGAAUUUUAGAACACUUGAUAUGCAUGCCUUAUAUAUACCUUGAAAUUUACACUCUAUAUAGUAGAGCUAUAUGUGUAGACUGCAUGCAUUGUGAAAGGUGGUUGGCUUUGCAAGUUGAGAACAUGUCUCUUAUAUUUGAAAUGAGUAGAAUUAUGCAUCAUGAACAUAAAUGCCAUGCUUGAACUCGUUGAACAAUAGUGUCAUAAAGGGGCACUUGAACCUAGCAAACUAUGAGAAUGCAACAUAGAGACAUAGCGAUAGGCCAUUGGGUAUCGACUAUAUUCCAUGUUUUAGACAUGAUGACAUAGUGAUAGGCCAUCGACACAGUUGACAUGUAUUCCAUAUUUUAGACAUGAGGACUUGAUGCUUGAGACGGACUGAUAUGCAUGCUUGCCAUUGUGCUCAUUCGCACAUGCUUGUGAGGGUCGCUCCCUACAAGCCGGCACUCCGGAGUUGGCCAUCGCGAUACGUUCGCCGUGCGGGAUUGGGCGCCGAAGUGGAUUGCUGUGGGAAAGGCUCAUUCCUAGGGUGGGGAUGUUGACUACCACGGGGCUAUUAGGCACGGUAAAGCCAGACAGCCUUCGGGUGGGUCUUAUGCCAGACAGCCUUCGGGUGGGUCUUAUCAAAGUUGAACUGUAAACAAUUAAAGUGAUAAGUGCACAUUGACUAGAAUAGUAAACAAUGACAUCUUUACUAUUUACAUCGUGGGCAUUGGAUUAGUUGCAUACUUAUGCAUUUGCAUGUUGGAUACUCUUGUGCACAUACUUGUAGUAAUUGCCUUCUUACUUAUGCAAAUCAUGCUAAGUAGAGAUAUCAUGGUUGAAUAGUAUUCAUAUUUAUUUCCUAGUUGUUCUUAUCGCUUUGGCUUAUACUUGUACACUGACCCACUUUUGUAGUUUUGGGCCUAGUGGCGUAUUUCAAUGAAGUCAGUAAUUACCCACUGAAAACUAUUAUUUAAUAGUUCUCACGCCCCUGUUUCUAUAUGUUUUCCUUUCAGAGCCUUCGGCACCGGCGUAGGCACGGGAUCUCGGCAAGGGUGUCGCGUAGCUAGCUCGGGAGAGAGUCCGUUUUGCGAUAGGUGGUUCCUUCUUUUGUUUGUGUCAGAGAGAGGGAGAGUUUUGGCACCAUGUAUAGAGAGAUCACCUUGUAUUCAGAGUUGUACUUGCUUUGGGACUCCUUUUGUGUUAUCUUAUGUUUUACCUAGCGGAUUAUCAGUUUUAUGAUCUUCUUCUUGUUGUAGCAUCUCGUAGUUACUUUGCUCUGAUACUCCUAGAUGCUUUCUUGUAUUGUUUUAUUUACCGCUUUAUUUUAGACGCCUUAUAUGUUUUAGACGUACGGCGGGUAUGGACACGCGCCGGGCGGGCUUCCGCUGGGUCCCGGGGCGUGACAAGCUCAACCCCCACAUGCUUACAGGAACCGGUCCCCUCCCAGAGGGACCGGUCCCCGAGAGCACAAAACCUGCAACUUGUACAGAUUUUGCACAGCUUGCUCUCGCAGGUCCUUCUCAAUACACUUUUUGCAUUUUUAUCGCAUUCGGACUUUCCGAAGCAUACCAACUCAACAACAAGUCGAUUCUAAUCGAAGUUCAACUCUCGGAUUUUGAUAAUUCAUUUCCUUACAAGCAGCAAAUUAAUUUUUAAACAACAAAAUUUCUGUACCUGUGGGCAUAAGAAACUCAUUAUCUAGAAAUUCAAUCCACUAUCCUAUUCUAGUCAAAAUUCAAAAUUAUUAUUUAUUUGACUACAAUAAAUAAUCAAACUUUAAUUAAAAAGUCAAACUUUAAUUCAAUGUCAGUAAAUUCUUAUACAUUCAUCAUUAUUUAUAGCAUGCUACCUUAUUUGACAUUGAAUGACUAUUAAAAUUGAAUUAGGAAUCUGUACGAAUUUUCGGGUUAAAGUUAGUUCACUAUCAUCUUAUAAAAAUACCGUAAGUGAUCACAUGCCAUGACUAGGAUGCGGUGGCUAUUUCUGGACAUAGUUGAUCUCAUAAAUCCUUAUAUGAUAUUGAAUGACUGAAAAUUUCAUGUUAUUCCAAAAUGCAGUGAAAAAAAAUAAAAGUCCAAAAUAAUUUUCUUAACAACUUUAUGUGGCUCAAAUUUAUAAACUGUGUGAAGUCUAUAUACCCUACUCUAAUUUUUAUGAUGAUCUUAUAUAUGUUUAGAAUAAUAACAUAACAAAAUUGUAUCGCAAAAUAUUAAUCUAAACAUACUACUUUAUAAUCUAAAUUAGCAUACGAGUAGAAUAAAAAUCAUAUAAGACAAAUACCAAACAUUAUAUANUAGCUCAUACCGGGAGAGGAGAACCGUCGAUCCCGUUGAAUCACUACCGGGAGAGGAGAACCGUCAAUCCCGUAGUUCCGAUUCACUUGUUUCAUGGCAUACCGGGAGAGGAGAACCGUCGAUCCCGUUGAAUCACUACCGGGAGAGGAGAACCGUCAAUCCCGUAGUUAUGAUUCUAUUCUUGCCAUCACACCAUUCCUAGGAAUUCCGGAAUCCACUUUCACAACUUAAGGGUUUUACUCUUUUACUCUAUGUUGACGACCUUUCUAGGUCUAUACUAUUCACUUUCUAGUGGUCCUAUUACCACUAUAAUUCAUAACUUAGUUUACUUUUACUGAGUGUUUCUUUACAUUAUAACCUAGGUUCAUUUACACCAGGUUUAAUAUUCUCUCUCCUAGAUCUCAACUCUAGGUUUAUUUGCUUGACCUAUGUCCAAUGACACUAGGUUAAUGUCCGACCUAGGUUCAAUAACACUAGGUUCAUUUCAUGUCCAACCUAUGUUUAGCAACACUAGGUUUAUGCCACUCGAUCUAUACAAUGACCAACCUAGGUUUAAUAACUUAGGUUUCAUGCCACUCGAUCUAUAUAUCACCCGAGGUAUCCUUGCCUAGGUUCACAAUUCACAUGUUUUCAUGUAGCUUGUUACCGCUGAGGUUUCUAAUCAACGAGAAUUAUCGACAUUCAUAUAGCUUGAACUAUGGUACAUUCAUUUUCAUAUAUGUUUAGAUAUAUACAUCAGAUGUCGACAAUUAUGUAUGCUUUAGCAUCUAUGUUCACAUUUCAUAUUCACCUUACAUGCCCCUGACAUUUACAGGUUCAACUUUUAUAUAUCAUAUAGUUGCUCAUAAGAAUUUAGCAUAACUAUGCAUCUAGCUUUCACGUUCAUAUAUCGACAAUUAUAUGUAUGUAUUCUUAGGUCUCUCGCAUUCACUUUCAUAUAUGUUUAGCCCUUUGCAACUAGCAUUUACAAUUCACGUAUUCAUAUUCAUAUGAUAACUAUUAGAGAUCAUCUACGCUAAUAUUCACAUGUCAACAAUCAUAUUCAUAUAUGCGUCAAAUGAAACCAUACUUUACUUUGACAUGGGAAGCGACCUAAUCGCUUCGGUAAGCACAACCCACCUUUACUUGAUACUGGAAUGCGAGAAAUCCGCUUCUCGCACUUUCCAGAGAACCGCGACCCGCGCUCUUGACAAUUGUAGUCGAAAAUGCUCUUUUGGCGAUAUCUUCGCGUAGGCUCGACGGAUUGCCGAACCGACUUCGCCAACGCGUUUGUUUUACCCCCAAUUAGGUUGUACGCGGUCAAUUUCACAUUAGGACUUCUAUCCUGCAAAAGUGCAUUAUUGAGGUCAGUUCAAUAUAACUUCUUUUACACGAGUUCCAUACAAAUUUAUAGAGCAAUUCAACUUCAACCAUUAAUCUAAGAACCCCAUAACCAGCUAAUCUAGGAAUACAAGAGAUCCACUUUAGCUAUAACAUCAUUCCUACAAUUUUCAUAUACAACCCAAGUUUACUUGCACGUUGUUAGCAUAUUAUAGUUUCUAAUGUUAUAUAGCAUCUACAAGCUUUAGCCUCUAAUAGAUGUAAAUUCCUGUUAUAACUAUGCUCCUACAACUCUAUUUUUUUAGACCAAUUAUGCCACAUAUAUAGCAGCCCAAGUUCACAUAUAUGCUGUCAACAUAUAACUCUUCCACUAGGUUUUGAUAACACAUACAAGUUUUUUGUAGAAUUCAAAACCCCAAGUUAGAUCCCUUUCUUAGGUUAAAUACCACAAAUCAUAAUCAGGAAUUAUGACUAACCUGUCUCAAAUUACCUCUUUAACAAACAAUUCACUUGCAUACUAUUCCAUCUUUAUAGCUGGUUAUAGGUUCUUCAUGGCAUGUAGAAGAUAUAGCAACCAUAAUCUAUAGUUUAGACCCUUUUUUUUUUUUCUUUAGACCAAUUAACCUAACCCAAAAUCAGGAAUUACAAAAUAACCGGCAGGAUAGCUACUUAGUUCCCAGCUGCCAAUAUUCAUACAUAAUACACAUGGCUUCUUACAUAGCAUCUACACUCUUUAACAACCAAAAUCCAUAGUUUAAACCUUUUUAAUUUCAGCACAAAUCCAUCAAAAUGACUUCUCCUAAGAUCCACCAUAAAAAUUCAUCAAAAGAUCUGAUUUGAAAUUAUAAUAAUAAAAUGCUAACUUCGCAGUCGAAGCGCCGAAAAAAUCCAACGCGCGCGGGGGAUCGAUCGGCUCGUCGAACGGCACCAAUUUCAUCACUUUCUUCUUCUUCUUCUUCUUUUUUUCUUUUUCCUUUUCUCUUCCUUUCCCUUUCUCUAUCAUGCGUACAGGGAGAGGAUAAGAAUGAAGGUCUCCUGGCAGCUUAGUGGAAACCCACUAAGCAAUGUAACAAUUGCCUUUAGGUCCACAAGUCAUCAAUAUUAUCACUUCAGUCUAGUUCUAGUCUGAUAUAUUUAAUUGGAGCUCUUAUGAAUGUCCGAUUGAGUUCAAAUUUGACAGGAAUGCUCGUUUUUACUUCAUAAGUCCACUGAAAUUUUAACAUUUCAGUUUCGACCCCUUUUGGUUACGGCGAACUGUCCCGAACUGUAAUCUUUAUCAGAUAACUUCCAGAUACUAUUUCUCUCUCUACAGGUGUCAGAAAAAUAUGAAACUUCAAAUCUAGACUCAUAAUAACGUUCCUGACAUCUCUGCUAAUUUUCAUAAUUUUCUGACACUGUGCAUUUUUCUGCUAAUUUCUCAGUCUCGUUCUUUACAGAAAAUUCUACAUUUUCCGUUUUCACUCCGAUUUCUUCCAAACACUUCCAAAAUAUUCCAAGGGACCUUUACAAGCUACUAAUUUAAUUUGGAAGCAAUUCCUUUUCAUUUUGACAUUAUUUGAGCCGAAUUAGCAAUAGAAUUAGCUCAAAUUCCAUUACAUGGUAGCAAUUUCUCCUUUUUGCACUACCACUUUGUACUGAACACUUCAAAACCCUUUGAAAACACACUCCUGGUUUUUUCAAAGCUUCACAAUUGAUUCGGAGAUACCACAAUUUAUCCUCACGCCUUACUUUAAUUCUUUUAAUCAAAGUUAGCGUCGGAACUCCGAAAAUUCUCUUUAUAUUUCAUUUCGCGCCCAAUUUGCGCCGAAACACUUAUUUAUCUCCAGAAUUCAUUCACACGCAUCACAAAUCACUCGAAGAUGAUGUCCAACUAGCUCAAUCCUCACUUUGACCCUCUAGGUCAAAGUUGACAUCGCAACUCCAAGUUUCCAUAUGUUACACGAUCUAUGUCAUAGUGUCACUUUGUUCUUUUGCUUACUUUGGGUGCUCACUUUCUCUCUCAUGCAUACACAUAGGGUUUUCGACAUUUAUAAGGUUCUCAACCAUAACAUUAGGCACGUUGUACUCACAAUCAUGCAAUCAUCACAUUUUAUCAUUACUUUACCCUAAAAUGCAUGCAACAAUAUAGGUGUAUAUGCUCAAUCGAAUGAUACAUUAGGCAUAGAGGGAAGUUCAAUAAGUUUGAGAAGCACCACCCACCUUGUAGGUCUAUCUAGGUGUAAGAUAUCGAAAUUCGACGAAAACGGCUAACUUUGGCACAAUGGACCAAAGUAGGCAAUUGAACGAUUUGGACAAGUUCCAUUCGGCAUUCCAACAAGUUUGGAAGAGUAAUAAUGAGUUCCAAAAGUGUUGGAAUAGUUCUAGCGUUGUUGGACGCGAAAAGAAAUCGAAACAGAUCGAAAAACAGCUUUCUGGAGCUGGUGUACCGGUACACGCAUGAUGGCUGUACCGGUACAGCCAUUGCUGCCAGGCUGCGCAGCCCUCGGGUUUGCUCUCGGGUUUGGCCGUUACGCAGGGCGCGUACCGGUACGCAAACCCGUGUACCGGUACACGAGCGCGCAGCAGCGGGUUAAGUUGCAAAAUCUGAUAAAAGGAGGGCUUUUUAGCAUUUUGUUACAAUAGAGGACUUAACCCUCAUGCCCUCAGCUCUCUCCUCUCUCACUCCCACAGCCCCUCUCUCUCUCUAGCUCUCUCUCUCUCUCUAACCGGUUGGGAGAAAAGAAGAAGAAGAAAAAGAGAAGGAAAAAGAAGGAAAAAGAGAGGAAGAAAAGGAAGGAGAAGAAGGAGAAGAAGGUUUUGAAGCCCUUCUUCAUCUCGUUUUUGACCUAGGGCUUGCUUUGGAGCAAACCCUAGAGGUAAGCCUCAACCCCUUUCAUGGUAACUUGUGAUUUCUAGGGUUUGGAUGGUUUUUGUUGCUUUUGAUGGUUCAAAUGGAACCUAAUGAGCUUAGAGAACAUGGAUUUAGCUCACAUUGAAGCUAUAAUCCAUAACCUCUCAUGGAUCCUAACCCUAGGGUUAGAUUUUGGGGAUUUUGUAAAUAGUGAGGUUUGAUCUCUUUUGAGGGGUUAGAAAUCUAAUUGCUAUGCUUAUAAACGCGUAGGCGAAGACGGUUCGUUGAUCCGACGAGUGAGCGCGAAGAUA